Molecule: small RNA, 138 nt
Filed under: Sinorhizobium meliloti AK83
Lineage: Bacteria; Pseudomonadati; Pseudomonadota; Alphaproteobacteria; Hyphomicrobiales; Rhizobiaceae
Description: Alphaproteobacterial sRNA ar35
Rfam family: Alphaproteobacterial sRNA ar35
Source: Rfam by way of RNAcentral
AAGCGCAUUUGUCGGCGCGGAAGAACUACAUGCCGACAAUCGCGCAUUGCUUUCGACUUGUGACCGCGGAGGCACUGGCUCAAGUUUUGAGAGCGAAAAGACAGAAGGCCGGGGCCAGGUGCUCCGGCCUUUUUGUUA